UGAACGCUGGCGGCGUGCUUAACACAUGCAAGUCGACGAGGUGCAUUCGGAUGAAGUUUCGGAUGGAUCUGAUGUACUGAGUGGCGGACGGGUGAGUAACGCGUGGGGAACCUGCCCCAUUCCGGGGGAUACCAGUUGGAAACGACUGUUAAUACCGCAUAAGCGCACGGGAUCGCAUGGUCCUGUGUGAAAAAACUCCGGUGGAAUGGGAUGGCCCCGCGUCUGAUUAGCCAGUUGGUGAGGUAACGGCCCACCAAAGCGACGAUCAGUAGCCGGCCUGAGAGGGCGACCGGCCACAUUGGGACUGAGACACGGCCCAAACUCCUACGGGAGGCAGCAGUGGGGAAUAUUGCACAAUGGAGGAAACUCUGAUGCAGCGAACCGCCGCGUGAGUGAAGGAGUAUUUCGGUAUGUAAAGCUCUAUCGGCAGGGAAGAAGAUGACGGUACCUGCAGAAGAAGCCCCGGCUAACUACGUGCCAGCAGCUGC
This 488-nucleotide ribosomal RNA is filed under the name uncultured bacterium. Its description in RNAcentral is "bacterial SSU rRNA". It matches the Rfam family "Bacterial small subunit ribosomal RNA", at positions 30 to 518 of the family's 1533-position model. The record is from RNAcentral.